CCUACGAGAGGCUGCAGUGAGGAAUAUUGGUCAAUGUCCGGAAGGCUGAACCAGCCAAGCCGCGUGAAGGACGAAGGUGCUAAGCAUUGUAAACUUCUUUUGUCAAGGGACAAAAUCAGGCUCGAGAGCCUGCCCGAGGGUACUUGAAGAAAAAGCAUCGGCUAACUCCGUGCCAGCAGCCGCGGUAAUAGGGAGGAUGCGAGCGUUAUCCGGAUUUAUUGGGUUAAAAGGGUGCGUAGGCGGACUGUUAAGUCAGCGGUAAAAGCCCGGGGCUAAACCCGGGCGAGCCGUUGAAACUGGCUGUCUUGAGAUGUCGAGAGGUAUGCGGAAUGCGCAGUGUAGCGGUGAAAUGCUUAGAGAUUGCGCAGAACUCCGAUUGCGAAGGCAGCAUACCGGCGGCGGUCUGACGCUGAGGCACGAAAGCGUGGGUAUCGAACAGGAUUAGAUACCCCUGUAGUC
RNAcentral lists this ribosomal RNA (459 nucleotides) under uncultured bacterium. RNAcentral describes it as "partial 16S ribosomal RNA". It matches the Rfam family "Bacterial small subunit ribosomal RNA", at positions 338 to 795 of the family's 1533-position model. The record is from RNAcentral.